Long non-coding RNA from Passer domesticus (house sparrow), 613 nucleotides. RefSeq lists it as uncharacterized. NCBI's taxonomy places the organism in Eukaryota, Metazoa, Chordata, Aves, Passeriformes, Passeridae. The transcript has 3 exons. The record is from RefSeq and is a predicted model, not a curated record.
GCCCUGCGCCGCGGGGUCCCGCAGAGCCAGCCGGCCUGGGCCUUUUCGGGGCUUUUCAGGGAUUUUCCCCGAUUCCCGGAGCAGCAGAGGCGGAGUUGCUCCAGUAAUGACUCAGGAGGAGAUUGCAGAGAAUUGAAUCACUACCUAAAUUGUCAAAUGCAUGAGAAAUUCAGCUGCAGAAAAAAGGUGGACACCGUGUCUCCUCCAGCUUAAUGCUGCAGUGAUGUCCCGAAGUUUCCAGCUUGCUGAGACCUUCAUGGCCCCUUCUGCUGACUCAGGUGCUUCUGGAACAGCACCAUGGCACCCAGGGAAGGCAGAUUCUUGAGAUGCAGGAGCUUUGAUGUCACAUUCUCUUUUUUUUAAAAACCAAAAAGGACAUGAGGACUUUUGUGUCCCUGUGCUCCGUGCUCUCUCUCAGCGGUGUCACCCACACAUUCACUUACUUGUCCCUUUCUGUUACACAUAUCAAACACCAAGAUUGCAAUUACAGUAAGAAUGGACUUUUCUGACUAAUUGUGAUUAACACACACAGUUAGAGCAUUAGCUCAGGAGCUGAACCUUGAGGCCUUCUUGCAAUUACUUAUCUAUUUGCUCUGUCAGGUCCUGAUUAGUU